GAAAGGCGGGCUAAACCCGCGUACAUGCCACCGGGGCAUCCCGGAGGCAGGAAAGGCUUCGGCCGGACAGGGAUGGGCAUGCGGCGCAUUAGGCAGUAGGCGGGGUAACGGCCCACCUAACCGACGAUGCGUAGGGGUUCUGAGAGGAAGGUCCCCCACACUGGUACUGAGGCACGGACCAGACUCCUACGGGAGGCAGCAGUGAGGAAUAUUGGUCAAUGGUCGGGAGACUGAACCAGCCAAGCCGCGUGAGGGAUGAAGGUACAGAGUAUCGUAAACCUCUUUUGUCAGGGAACAAAGGCGGGGACGUGUCCCCGGAUGAGUGUACCUGAAGAAAAAGCAUCGGCUAACUCCGUGCCAGCAGCCGCGGUAAUACGGAGGAUGCGAGCGUUAUCCGGAUUUAUUGGGUUUAAAGGGUGCGCAGGCGGUCUGUUAAGUCAGCGGUCAAAGCCCGGGGCUCAACCCCGGUCCGCCGUUGAAACUGGCAGUCUCAAGUUGGAGAGAAGUAUGCGGAAUGCGCGGUGUAGCGGUGAAAUGCAUAGAUAUCGCGCAGAACUCCGAUUGCGAAGGCAGCAUGCCGGCUCCACACUGACGCUGAGGCACGAAAGCGUGGGUAUCGAACAGGAUUAGAUACCCUGGUAGUCC
Molecule: ribosomal RNA, 645 nt
Filed under: uncultured bacterium
Lineage: Bacteria
Description: bacterial SSU rRNA
Rfam family: Bacterial small subunit ribosomal RNA
Source: RNAcentral